AGAGUUUGAUCAUGGCUCAGAUUGAACGCUGGCGGCAUGCCUUACACAUGCAAGUCGAACGGUAACAGGUCUUCGGAUGCUGACGAGUGGCGAACGGGUGAGUAAUACAUCGGAACGUGCCCGAUCGUGGGGGAUAACGGAGCGAAAGCUUUGCUAAUACCGCAUACGCCCUGAGGGGGAAAGUGGGGGACCGCAAGGCCUCACGUUAUUGGAGCGGCCGAUGGCUGAUUAGCUAGUUGGUAGGGUAAAGGCCUACCAAGGCGACGAUCAGUAGCUGGUCUGAGAGGAUGAUCCGCCACACUGGGACUGAGACACGGCCCAGACUCCUACGGGAGGCAGCAGUGGGGAAUAUUGGACAAUGGGCGAAAGCCUGAUCCAGCCAUGCCGCGUGUGUGAAGAAGGCCUUUUGGUUGUAAAGCACUUUAAGCGAGGAGGAGGCUACCGAGAUUAAUACUCUUGGAUAGUGGACGUUACUCGCAGAAUAAGCACCGGCUAACUCUGUGCCAGCAGCCGCGGUAAUACAGAGGGUGCGAGCGUUAAUCGGAUUUACUGGGCGUAAAGCGUGCGUAGGCGGCUUUUUAAGUCGGAUGUGAAAUCCCUGAGCUUAACUUAGGAAUUGCAUUCGAUACUGGGAAGCUAGAGUAUGGGAGAGGAUGGUAGAAUUCCAGGUGUAGCGGUGAAAUGCGUAGAGAUCUGGAGGAAUACCGAUGG
Molecule: ribosomal RNA, 711 nt
Filed under: uncultured Pseudomonadota bacterium
Lineage: Bacteria; Pseudomonadati; Pseudomonadota
Description: bacterial SSU rRNA
Rfam family: Bacterial small subunit ribosomal RNA
Source: RNAcentral